GCAAUCUUAGUAUUUUUUCUAUUACAAAUAUUAAACUGAAAUCUUACAAUUUAUAUAAAAUCUUUACAAGCUAUACACUUUUUCAAUCUUCUCAAACAGCAUUAAACCAAUAACUUUUCAAGUUGCCACAGAGAUCAGUUACAACAAAAUAACACAUUGCUACUGUAACAAAAACAUAUUUCCAAAAAAGGUAUGUAAGCUACUUUAAAGGCAGUUGUGUUUAAUCUGAAUAUGAACAGUAGCUCUGUUUUUUUUAAUUGUGAUGUUACUCUGUUUAUCUUUAAACCAUCAGAAUUCACACUUUAUUUAAAAUAAACAGUAGUUGGGGGUGGGGUGGGGAGGGCACUUGUAUUUUCUGCCUUCCUGUAUGUAAGUGAAACAGAGCUGAGCCUGGAGGAAUAAAGGCGAGUGCUUCUCAUUUAAAUUAGCCAUGACAAAAUAAAUGUCAAUACCAGUGUUUGCUAACAUGACUUUUAAACAGCACUUAGUACUUUAAUUUUAUCGUAUUUCCUAGCAUAAAGCAGCUUGAAAAUUAAUACAGAUGUGAGGUUUGUUCAGUAGCUUUGUCACUUUUAGCAGUAUCCCUGCAUUCAGUUUCUGCUAUUACUCCGGUGCAGCAGAGAGGAAGUCCCAGCAGAGAGGCAGGCUUACCACUAAGAAAAGAAGUUAAAAAAAAAAAAAGGGGGGGAGGGAGAAAACUAUAAUAAGGGGCUUUGGGCAAACAGGGAACCUGAAGAAUCUUUGAGAGCUCUGAAAUUCUUCAGGUAUCAACUGACCUCUUUGAAGCAGGAAGUCUUCAGCAUACAUGAAGUACCAUGCAUGUGUUCUGUAGGACAUUUCUGCAAACAGAUCCCUUUUAAGUUGUUCAGAUUGUUUGUAGGAACAAGAUGACAGCACAGCAGAACAUUAAGUUAGCGUUUAAGGCUGUACAGAUCUAUGGUCAUAACUUGAUUUUCUGUAUUAACACAGUAGCCUUUGGGCCAGCUGCUGAUGUUUGGGAAUUGUCUUUUUAAAUAAGAGCUUUUGUUCAUGAUCUUCGCCCUCAGCACAGACAAAGUAUAUACAAAUACACACAAAUUCUAUUAGAAUCCAGAGUUUAGACUACAAGCAAUCAGUUGUCUUAGCUGCACAACAAGAUUUAUGAGUCUUAGCUGCUCUUCUGGGUUAUUUUCAAAAUACAUGAAAAUACAUUCAACUUUUACCUUGUUUAUUUUAAUUGUUGCAGAAACAAACUGUAUUUGCUAAAUGCCUAUUGAAAUAUGCCUUACUGUAGUUUCCCUGAAUAGAGGACAAAAUCAAGAAGCUUACAGAAAAUGGGCAAAGCAAGUUUGCAGACCUGGAAGCCAUUCUGAUUGCUUCAUUGAUCAAAGUGCAAUUCCAUGUUAAUAAUUCAGGUUUAGUGUAUGAGGAAAAAAGCUGCAGAGUCUUCACAGCUGCUGGGUUUUGUCUUACACAUGUCCAUUAUUUACAGUAAAGUAACAGAAAAUCUACUACUACUAGUUCCCUCACUUUGUUUUUACUUAUACAAGAAGAUGCAAGCACAAACCAGGUUCAAAACAAGAAUUUAGACUCACUAAACUGGCAAGUAGUUUCAAAUGGACUUUUUUUAAUAAAUAAAGCAUUCAUAUACUUGGUAAGGACUAUAAAUUGUGGAUAGAACGUACAUUUAUACCACUUUGAACACAAAGUGCACAUGCUAUUGUAAUAAGUUGACUAAAUUUCAAUCUAUAAAGGACUUGUAACUUACAAGUUUUGAGGAGCAUUAAGUGGAGUCUAGAUAACUAAGUUUCUGAUGUUUAAAUGUGUGAUGACAAAUCC
This 1818-nucleotide long non-coding RNA is filed under the name Strigops habroptila (Kakapo). RNAcentral's name for it is "lncRNA (ENSSHBG00005015402.1)". The record is from RNAcentral. Lineage: Eukaryota; Metazoa; Chordata; Aves; Psittaciformes; Psittacidae.